This 126-nucleotide small nucleolar RNA is filed under the name Meriones unguiculatus (Mongolian gerbil). RNAcentral's name for it is "Small nucleolar RNA SNORA17 (ENSMUGG00000015448.1)". It matches the Rfam family "Small nucleolar RNA SNORA17". Rfam says of the family: snoRNA ACA 17 belongs to the H/ACA family of snoRNAs and is predicted to guide pseudouridylation of the 28S rRNA at positions U4659 and U4598. It shares the same host gene together with ACA43. NB This family has a high threshold value to exclude a large number of closely related sequences that do not appear to have conserved H and ACA boxes, and may be pseudogenes. Lineage: Eukaryota; Metazoa; Chordata; Mammalia; Rodentia; Muridae. The record is from RNAcentral.
CCUGCCCCUAGCUGCAGGUGCGGCUGCUGUGUCAUGUGUGCGUCAGUGGGUGGCAGAGAGGACAGAGGCUGUGUCUACACUCAGUGUUCUGACCUUGAACAUCUGAAUCGUUAGUAGCCUGACACU